GAUGAACGCUGGCGGCGUGCCUAAUACAUGCAAGUCGAGCGAACAGAUGAGGAGCUUGCUCCCCUGACGUUAGCGGCGGACGGGUGUGUAACACGUGGAUAACCUACCUAUAAGACUGGGAUAACUUCGGGAAACCAGAGCUAAUACCGGGUCAUCUAUUGAACCGCAUUGUUCAAUAGUAAAAGACGGUUUUUCUGUUACUUAUAGAUGGUUCCGCGCCUAAUUAGCUAGUUGGUAAGGUAACGGCUUACCAAGGCAACGAAGCGUAGCCGCCCUGAGGGGGUGAUCGGCCACACUGGAACUGGGACACGCUCCAGACUCCUACGGGAGGCAGCAGUAGGGAAUCUUCCGAAAUGGGCGAAAGCCUGACGGAGCAACGCGGCGUGAGUGAUAAAGGUCUUCGGAUCGUAAAACUCUGUUAUUAGGGAAGAACAAAUGUGUAAGUAAAUAUGCACGUCUUGACGGUACCUAAUCAGAAAGCCACGGCUAACUACGUG
This 497-nucleotide ribosomal RNA is filed under the name uncultured bacterium. RNAcentral's name for it is "partial 16S ribosomal RNA". It matches the Rfam family "Bacterial small subunit ribosomal RNA", at positions 28 to 507 of the family's 1533-position model. The record is from RNAcentral.